Molecule: small nuclear RNA, 18 nt
Filed under: Arabidopsis thaliana (thale cress)
Lineage: Eukaryota; Viridiplantae; Streptophyta; Magnoliopsida; Brassicales; Brassicaceae
Description: snRNA_01229
Source: RNAcentral
CCGGUCUACCGGUUCGGG